RNAcentral lists this ribosomal RNA (238 nucleotides) under uncultured bacterium. Its description in RNAcentral is "partial 16S ribosomal RNA". It matches the Rfam family "Bacterial small subunit ribosomal RNA", at positions 539 to 776 of the family's 1533-position model. The record is from RNAcentral.
CGUUGUUCGGAUUCACUGGGCGUAAAGGGGGCGUAGGUGGUGAGGUAAGUCGGAUGUGAAAGCUCGGAGCUCAACUCCGAAAUGGCAUUGGAAACUACCUUGCUCGAGGGUUGGAGGGGGGACUGGAAUGCUUGGUGUAGCAGUGAAAUGCGUAGAUAUCAAGCGGAACACCAGUGGCGAAGGCGAGUCCCUGGACAACUCCUGACACUGAGGCACGAAAGCUAGGGGAGCAAACAGG